This is a long non-coding RNA of Micropterus salmoides (largemouth bass), 472 nucleotides long. RefSeq lists it as uncharacterized. The record is from RefSeq and is a predicted model, not a curated record. NCBI's taxonomy places the organism in Eukaryota, Metazoa, Chordata, Actinopteri, Centrarchiformes, Centrarchidae. The transcript has 2 exons.
CCCACUCAGUUGUGUUGGAUCUGCACGCGUUUCUGGAAUAUUCACGAACUGACUUUCUUCCUUGGAGCCUCCUGGAUAAUCCUCACCACCAGUCCCACAGUCACAGUGUAUCAGCGGGGCGUGCAGGGGAACAUCAGACCCUCGCUAGCAUCAUCAUCCCCCACCAUCCAGUGCAGCGGUUUUUCCUCCUCCUCCCCAGCUGGACGCCUCCUCUCUGCCUCGGCCCACCGUCAGCCUGCAAGCCCCGGAGAUGCGCGCUUCGACCCGGGUCGUUGGAUGGCGGUGUUCUCAGAGGAAUUACAUCCUCUUGUUUAUUUAAUUAUUAAUAUUUUUUAUUUCUGACCACGCCCCGCCCCCCUCCUCUGAGUCAGGUGACGCAGUAUUACAACCCUGCUGACGUAUCUUUCAUCGCGAGAGCUGGGAGUGGGAUGGGUAAACGGUUAAUAAAGCUUCUCUACAAACAAGCUUGAUU